AAUCAAGCGUCUUAAGGGCAUUUGGUGGAUGCCUUGGCGCGCAGAGGCGAUGAAGGACGUGGCACGCUGCGAUAAGCCAUGGGGAGCUGUGAGCAAGCUUUGAUCCGUGGAUUUCCGAAUGGGGAAACCCGACCCGCAAGGGUUAUCGUUACCUGAAUACAUAGGGUAACGAAGCGAACCCGGGGAACUGAAACAUCUCAGUACCCGGAGGAAAGGACAUCAACCGAGACUCCGUUAGUAGUGGCGAGCGAACGCGGACCAGGCCAAUGCCUGGAAUCUUCUAACUGGAACCGUCUGGAAAGUCGGGCCUUAGCGGGUGAUAGCCCCGUACAGGUGUUGAAGAUUUCAGGAUAUGAGUAGGGCGGGACACGAGAAAUCCUGUCUGAACAUGGGGGGACCACCCUCCAAGCCUAAGUACUCCUGCGCGACCGAUAGUGCACCAGUACCGUGAGGGAAAGGUGAAAAGCACCCCGACGAGGGGAGUGAAAUAGUACCUGAAACCGAAUGCCUACAAACAGUUGGAGCCCGCAAGGGUGACAACGUACCUUUUGUAUAAUGGGUCAGCGACUUAAUCUGGCGAGCAAGCCUAAGCCGAUAGGUGUAAGCGAAGCGAAAGCGAGUCUGAACAGGGCGUUCAGUUCGUCGGAUUAGACCCGAAACCGAGUGAUCUAGCCAUGAGCAGGCUGAAGGUGAGGUAACACUUACUGGAGGGCCGAACCCACGUCUGUUGAAAAAGACGGGGAUGACUUGUGGCUAGGGGUGAAAGGCCAAUCAAACUCGGAAAUAGCUGGUUCUCCGCGAAAUCUAUUUAGGUAGAGCGUCGGGCGAAUACUCCAGGGGGUAGAGCACUGGAUGGGCUAGGGGUCCUUACCGGAUUACCAAACCUAACCAAACUCCGAAUACCUGGAAGUACUACCCGGCAGACACACCAUGGGUGCUAACGUCCGUGGUGGAGAGGGAAAAAACCCUGACCGCCGUCUAAGGUCCCUAAAUUGUGGCUAAGUGGGAAAGGAUGUGGGGUCCCCAAAACAACCAGGAGGUUGGCUUAGAAGCAGCCAUCCUUUAAAGAAAGCGUAACAGCUCACUGGUCUAAAUAAGGGGCCCUGCGCCGAAAAUGUACCGGGGCUAAAGCCACAUACCGAAGACGCGGGUGCAUGCUUGCAUGCGCGGUAGCGGAGCGUUCCGUAAGCCUGCGAAGGGUGACUCGUGAGAGCAC
Molecule: ribosomal RNA, 1216 nt
Filed under: Candidatus Paracaedibacteraceae bacterium
Lineage: Bacteria; Pseudomonadati; Pseudomonadota; Alphaproteobacteria; Holosporales; Candidatus Paracaedibacteraceae
Description: partial 23S ribosomal RNA
Rfam family: Bacterial large subunit ribosomal RNA
Source: RNAcentral